This is a long non-coding RNA of Daphnia magna, 1520 nucleotides long. RefSeq lists it as uncharacterized. The record is from RefSeq and is a predicted model, not a curated record. Lineage: Eukaryota; Metazoa; Arthropoda; Branchiopoda; Diplostraca; Daphniidae. The transcript is spliced from 3 exons.
UGCGGCCACGUUUCGGAGUUCGUCUGUCCUGGAAAACCAGCAAUAGUUAUCCCUUGCCAGGCUACGGUCAACCGUCGAAUGCCUUGUGGACAUAAACAAAAGGGUAUAUGUUCCAAGCCCAUUGAACGAUGUCUUCAGGAAAUAGUUCGGUCUCUUCCGUGCGGCCAUAGCAUCAAAACCGUGUGCUGGAACACGACUCCACCUUGCACAACCGUUGUAGAGAAGAUGUUGCUGUGUGGUCACAUGCAUCCUGUCCGGUGCAGUGAGGGGAUUGGUUCAAUAUUGUUUGCAACCAAGAAACCGAAGUACUCCAUCCACUUUGUUCGCACGUGCAAGUGGUUUCCAUGCUCAAUCGCGAAAAAUAAGUUUCAAUUGUGCCAAUGGAAAUGUAAAGCCGAACCGUUAAAGAUGCUGCAUUGUGGACACGAAAUUCGUCUUCCAUGUGCACAACAGAUUGACAAGAGCAUCACUUGCACAGCCCUGAUUAAUUACACAUUACCAUGCCAUCACAUGGUCACCAUUCGUUGCAGUGAGCAGGAGAUAAAAGCACAAGGGAAAUGUAAAAUCAAAUGUGGAUCACCCGUUGAUGGUGGACAUUAUUGUUCAUUACCUUGCCAUGACCGUAGAACUGUGCAUGCUUGUAAAGAAACGGUUUCAAAGCAGUUGAGAUGUGGUCAUACUAAGGACAUGCCGUGUUUCCGUGAGCCAAGCAAAGAAAUAUGCUUUGCACCCAUAUCGUUAAAACGUGCUUGUGGUCACGUUUUGAACGUCGUUUGUGGGGAAGCAUCUUCUUUGGAAGAAAACAUAUGUGGCGAGCUUAUUGAGAAACGGUUACCGUGUAAUCACCUGGCCCGUGUUGCGUGCUCUAUUUCUGCUGAAACAGUCUUCUGCAAUGCUCGAAUCGAGCAGCUACUAGGAUGUUGACACACUGUUCCUACGAAAUGUGGUGUCCCAUUGAAGAAGAGACUCGCAUUGACUUGUACUGUCGAGGAGGUAAAAGAAUUGCCUUGUGGCCACAUGUACCACUGAAAAUGUGGGUCCAAAGAGAGCAACAAACAAUUGAGCAGUGUCUUCUGUCGGAUUGAGGUGGAGAAGGUGAUCCCAAAAUGCGGGCACAGAGUAAAAAUCGAGUGUGGGAAAAAGCUGUCCAGGAAUGACUGUACUUCCAUGUGUGAGAAAAAACUACACUGUGGACAUCGCUGCAGGCUCCUUUGUCGAGAGCAAUGCGCCAAUUUCGGGAUCAGAACCAUACCCAGUAGUGAUCUGCGUAUACAAUUAAUCAUGUAUAACAAACACUAUAAUGUUGUCAAAAGAAAGCAAAAAGUACGUCUCUUUACCCGGUCAAUAAUCCAAAUGCAUGUUGCGGCCGUAAUCCACUCUCUUGCGUGCACAUUGCAUUCGAAGAACUCAACACGUUUAUUGGCAGAAAGAUGAGUGCUGAUGAUUAACUGAACAAUGUCACGACCCUCUGCGGUUGUCCCUCCAACCUUAGUCGACACUAUUGGGUUUGUAUUAGCCAA